AGAAUCAACGCUGGCGGCGUGCCUAACACAUGCAAGUCGCACGAGAAAGGGGAGCAAUCCCUGAGUAAAGUGGCGCACGGGUGAGUAACACGUGAAUAAUCUACCUCCGAGUGGGGAAUAACUGAGAGAAAUCUUAGCUAAUACCGCAUAACACUUACGAGUCAAAGCAGCAAUGCGCUUGGAGAGGAGUUCGACGGCCGAUUAGUUAGUUGGCGGGGUAAUGGCCCACCAAGACGAUGAUCGGUA
This 246-nucleotide ribosomal RNA is filed under the name uncultured bacterium. RNAcentral's name for it is "partial small subunit ribosomal RNA". It matches the Rfam family "Bacterial small subunit ribosomal RNA", at positions 26 to 285 of the family's 1533-position model. The record is from RNAcentral.